AUGAGGCACCAACGGGGAGUCCACUCAUUAUCCCAUCAACUUAUGGGGCUCAACAUAGUGACGUUUAUUCACUAUGGGUAACGCAAACACCUCUGGCAUCUUUGUUCUAUCAAGGUUGGUCAUCUUCUCAACCAUCUAGUAAUAGGCCGGGGGUUGCACAAAUGCAAGGAUCUACACCAACUGAAGGUGAACCCCAACAACCACAACCUCGGUCGAAAGCGGAACCUAGAAGAAAUCUAGCGCGUAACCGCCAACCACCCCAAUGUGGCAGAGAUUUCGACUGGCAUAUGCACUAAUGAAUUGUAAAUUGUAUCAUUUAAAUUAAUAUAAUUUCUUUUGAAUAUUUUUUGUACACUGUCUAAUUUAGCUAUCCAUUAAACCCUAAUCAAAAUUCGAAUGUACCUUGAAUAUUUUCACAUAG
This 421-nucleotide long non-coding RNA is filed under the name Gossypium barbadense (sea-island cotton). Its description in RNAcentral is "long non-coding RNA (GBAR_LNC019877)". Lineage: Eukaryota; Viridiplantae; Streptophyta; Magnoliopsida; Malvales; Malvaceae. The record is from RNAcentral.